Molecule: non-coding RNA, 500 nt
Organism: Protopterus annectens (West African lungfish)
Lineage: Eukaryota; Metazoa; Chordata; Ceratodontiformes; Protopteridae
Source: the annotation of a RefSeq genome assembly
UCCAGGGUCUGUCUGAUCCUUUUACUGACUUUACUGACUGUAUCAUUCCAACAAUGUACUGGUCUGCAGUCCUUACCCUGAUCACAAUCUCCUGGACAUGUUGCAGGUCCCAGCCGAGCCUGUCUCAGGCUCCCACAGCGAUUGUGUCUCUGGGACAAACAACCAAACUGCCCUGCACCAUGAGUGGGGGCAGCAUCAGUAGCUAUCAUGUGUACUGGUACCAGCAGCGACCUGGGACUGCUCCACGAUACCUUCUGAGAUACUAUUCUGAUUCUAACAAACACCAAGGCACUGGGGUCCCCGAUCGGUUCUCUGGAUCCAAAGACAAUUCUCAGAACAUUGGCUAUUUAACCAUCUCUGGUAUCCAGGCAGACGAUGAUGCUAAUUAUUACUGUGCUACAUGGGAUAGUAGCUCUAGCUCAUACACAGUAAUACAGUUACAGGGGGAACUGAAACACAAACUCUCUGCAUCACCAGAUCUGUGUGUACAGCUGCACUAA